RNAcentral lists this ribosomal RNA (494 nucleotides) under Gyrineum roseum. RNAcentral's name for it is "partial 16S ribosomal RNA". It matches the Rfam family "Bacterial large subunit ribosomal RNA", at positions 1845 to 2598 of the family's 2925-position model. The record is from RNAcentral. Lineage: Eukaryota; Metazoa; Mollusca; Gastropoda; Littorinimorpha; Ranellidae.
AUAAGGAGUCGGACCUGCCCAGUGAAUAAUUUUAAACGGCCGCGGUACUCUGACCGUGCAAAGGUAGCAUAAUCAUUUGCCCUAUAAUUGAGGGCUAGUAUGAAUGGUUUGACAAGAAUAAAGCUGUCUCCAUAUAAUUUCAUAAAAUUUUAUUUUUAGGUGAAGAAGCCUGAAUAUUAUUAAAAGACAAGAAGACCCUAUCGAGCUUUAAAUAAAUAAAUAAAUUAAUAUGUAUAUUAAUUAAAACAACGUUUAUUAAAAAUUUUGGUUGGGGCGACUAAGGAACAAAUAAAGCUUCUUUAACAAAUAUUAAAUACACUCAAGUAAUGAUCCAAAAUAUUUUGAUUAAAGGAAUUAGUUACCGUAGGGAUAACAGCAUUAUCUUUUUUGAGAGCUCAUAUCGAAAAAAAGGUUUGUGACCUCGAUGUUGGACCAGAAUAUCCUAAAGAUGCAGAAGUCUUUAAGGGUUGGUCUGUUCGACCAUUAAAAUUCUA